Molecule: ribosomal RNA, 492 nt
Filed under: uncultured bacterium
Lineage: Bacteria
Description: partial 16S ribosomal RNA
Rfam family: Bacterial small subunit ribosomal RNA
Source: RNAcentral
AGUGAACGCUGGCGGUGGGCCUAACACAUGCAAGUCGAACGGCAGCACAGUAAGAGCUUGCUCUUGCGGGUGGCGAGUGGCGGACGGGUGAGGAAUACAUCGGAAUCUACUUUUUCGUGGGGGAUAACGUAGGGAAACUUACGCUAAUACCGCAUACGACCUACGGGUGAAAGCAGGGGAUCUUCGGACCUUGCGCGAUUGAAUGAGCCGAUGUCGGAUUAGCUAGUUGGCGGGGUAAAGGCCCACCAAGGCGACGAUCCGUAGCUGGUCUGAGAGGAUGAUCAGCCACACUGGAACUGAGACACGGUCCAGACUCCUACGGGAGGCAGCAGUGGGGAAUAUUGGACAAUGGGCGCAAGCCUGAUCCAGCCAUACCGCGUGGGUGAAGAAGGCCUUCGGGUUGUAAAGCCCUUUUGUUGGGAAAGAAAAGCAGCAGGUUAAUACCCCGCUGUUCUGACGGUACCCAAAGAAUAAGCACCGGCUAACUUCGUG